Mycena belliarum is the source of this 91-nucleotide non-coding RNA. Lineage: Eukaryota; Fungi; Basidiomycota; Agaricomycetes; Agaricales; Mycenaceae. The record is from the annotation of a GenBank genome assembly.
AGCAGCAUGGCGCAGAUGGAAGCGCGCGGGGCCCAUAGGAUCAGCUGAUUCAGUGACCCCGAGGUCACUCGAUCGAAACGAGUUGCUGCUA